RNAcentral lists this ribosomal RNA (578 nucleotides) under uncultured fungus. RNAcentral describes it as "eukaryotic LSU rRNA". It matches the Rfam family "Eukaryotic large subunit ribosomal RNA", at positions 62 to 648 of the family's 3401-position model. The record is from RNAcentral. Lineage: Eukaryota; Fungi.
AAACUAACAAGGAUUCCCCUAGUAACGGCGAGUGAAGCGGGAAAAGCUCAAAUUUAAAAUCUGGCAGUUUUGCUGUCCGAGUUGUAAUCUAGAGAAGCGUUUUCCGCGCUGGACUGUGUACAAGUUUCCUGGAUACGGAACAUCAUAGAGGGUGAGAAUCCCGUCCUUGACACAGAUCCCCAGUGCUUUGUGAUGCGCUCUCAACGAGUCGAGUUGUUUGGGAUUGCAGCUCAAAACGGGAGGUAAAUUCCUUCUAAAGCUAAAUAUUGGCGAGAGACCGAUAGCGAACAAGUACCGUGAGGGAAAGAUGAAAAGCACUUUGGAAAGAGAGUUAAACAGUACGUGAAAUUGUUAAAAGGGAAACGCUUGAAGUCAGUCACAUUUGUGUAGACUCAGCCUUACUUCGGUUUGGUGCAUUUCUACACGAAUGGGCCAGCGUUCAUGUUGCUCCUUGGAAAAGGGUUAGAGGAAUGUGGCUCUCUCGGGAGUGUUAUAGCCUCUGACUAUAUGCAGGGAAUGAUAUGAAGCGGUACAGCACGCUCUGCGGUGCUUGUGUUGGCAUAAUGGCUUUAAACGAC